This 253-nucleotide ribosomal RNA is filed under the name uncultured bacterium. Its description in RNAcentral is "partial 16S ribosomal RNA". It matches the Rfam family "Bacterial small subunit ribosomal RNA", at positions 524 to 776 of the family's 1533-position model. The record is from RNAcentral.
GACAGAGGGGCCGAGCGUUAGGCGGAAUCACUGGGCUUAAAGCGUGUGUAGGCGGGCGAUAAAGUACCUUGUGAAAUCCCACGGCUCAACCGUGGAACCGCUGGGUAUACUGGUUGUCUUGAGCCGGCUAGGGGCGAGCGGAACAGACGGUGGAGCGGUGAAAUGCGUAGAUAUCGUCUGGAACGCCGAAGGUGAAAACAGCUCGCUGGGGCCGCGCUGACGCUGAGACACGAAAGCCAGGGGAGCGAACGGG